GGGGGGGGGGGGGGGGGGGGGGGGGGGAGGCGGGGCGGGGGGGGGGGGGCGGCGUGGGGGGGGUGGGGGGGUGGGGGACGGGGGAGGAGCACGUGGGUAACCGGCCCUCGACGUGGGGAUAACUUCAGGAAGCUGCGGGUAAUAACGGAUAGGAGCUGCUGAUGCGUGGUGGGGGUUGGGAGGGUUCGGCGGUUGGGGAUGGACUAGCGGAGUAUCAGCUGGUUGGUUGGGUAGCGGCUUACAAAGGCUUUGGCGGGUAGCCGGCGUGAGAGGGGGACCGGCAACAUUGGGACUGAGAGACGGCCCAGAGUCGUACGGGAGGCAGCAGUGGGGAAUAGUGCACAAUGGGCGGAAGCCUGAUGUAGCAACGAGUGGUGCGGGAUGACGGCCGUCGGGGUGUAAACCGCUUUCGCCUGUGACGAAGCGUGAGUGACGGUAAUGGGUAAAGAAGCACGGGCUAACUACGUG
This 468-nucleotide ribosomal RNA is filed under the name uncultured bacterium. RNAcentral describes it as "partial 16S ribosomal RNA". The stretch from base 53 to 468 matches the Rfam family "Bacterial small subunit ribosomal RNA", at positions 39 to 507 of the family's 1533-position model. The record is from RNAcentral.